GUGCUUGUUUUGGUAGCACAUGUACAAAGAAUAGAAAGGGUGCCGAGAUUAGCAUGGGCCCUGAAGAAGGCUAGCAUGCAAAUGCAGGAAGCAGUCCAUAUUUAU
This 105-nucleotide small nuclear RNA is filed under the name Octodon degus (degu). Lineage: Eukaryota; Metazoa; Chordata; Mammalia; Rodentia; Octodontidae. The record is from RNAcentral.